RNAcentral lists this ribosomal RNA (758 nucleotides) under uncultured archaeon. RNAcentral describes it as "bacterial SSU rRNA". It matches the Rfam family "Archaeal small subunit ribosomal RNA", at positions 102 to 859 of the family's 1478-position model. The record is from RNAcentral.
GGACAACCUGCCCAAAGGUCCGGGAUAACCCCGGGAAACUGGGGAUAAUACCGGAUAAGUCACAACUACUGGAAUUGGUGUUGUGGUUGAAACUUCCGGGGCCUUUGGAUGGGUCUGCGGCGGAUUAGGUUGUUGCCGGUGUAACGUACCGUCAAGCCUGUAAUCCGUACGGGUUGUGGGAGCAAGAGCUCGGAGAUGGAUUCUGAGACACGAAUCCAGGCCCUACGGGGCGCAGCAGGCGCGAAAACUCUACAAUGCAGGCAACUGCGAUAGGGGAACAUCGAGUGAUACUCAUAUUGGGUGUCUGUCCACCCGUCUAAAAAACGGGUGUUAGCAAGGGCCGGGCAAGACCGGUGCCAGCCGCCGCGGUAAUACCGGCGGCUCGAGUGGUGGCCGAUAUUAUUGAGUCUAAAGGGUCCGUAGCCGGCUUUGCAAGUCUUUUGGGAAAUCCAGCGGCUUAACCGUUGGGCGGCCAGGAGAUACUACAUUGCUUGGGACUGGGAGAGGUAGGAGGUACUCAGGGGGUAGGAGUGAAAUCCUGCAAUCCUUUGGGGACCACCGGUGGCGAAGGCGUCCUACCAGAACAGGUCCGACGGUGAGGGACGAAAGCUAGGGGCACGAACCGGAUUAGAUACCCGGGUAGUCCUAGCCGUAAACGAUGCUCGCUAGGUGUCACAACAAUCGUGAAUUGUUGUGGUGCCGUAGGGAAGCCGUGAAGCGAGCCACUUGGGAAGUACGACCGCAAGGUUGAAACUUAA